This 252-nucleotide ribosomal RNA is filed under the name uncultured bacterium. RNAcentral describes it as "partial 16S ribosomal RNA". It matches the Rfam family "Bacterial small subunit ribosomal RNA", at positions 524 to 776 of the family's 1533-position model. The record is from RNAcentral.
UACGUAGGGUGCAAGCGUUGUCCGGAAUUAUUGGGCGUAAAGAGCUCGUAGGCGGUCUGUCGCGUCGGCUGUGAAAUCCCGGGGCUCAACCCCGGGCCUGCAGUCGAUACGGGCAGACUAGAGUGCGGUAGGGGAGACUGGAAUUCUCGGUGUAGCGGUGAAUGCGUAGAUAUCGAGAGGAACACCUGCGGCGAAGGCGGGUUGCUGGGCUGACACUGACGCUGAUGUGCGAAAGCUAGGGGAGCGAACGGG